UUUAAAAAGAUAAGUUAUAUUAGGAACAGCUAAAUAAAUGAAUAUAAUUUAGCUUAAAGAGGGGGUAUUUGAAGAAGAGUUAUAUGGAAAAUGCUGACUAACUGGAUCUUUCUCUUUGUUAAGGACAUGGGAUAAUGAACUUAAUGAAUAUAUGUGAAGGAUAUGAAUACUGGAUUCAAAAGGACUUGGGUUAGAGUCCCAUCUCCAAACACUUACCUGCAGUCUAUAACUUUGGACAGAUUCCUUAACAUAUCUGACUUUGGUUUUCUGAUGUGAAAAAUUUCAGAUAUAACAGUAAUUAUGAGGUUGUUGGGAGGAUUAAAUGAGCUCAGCUUUGCACCCUGAUGCACAGUAAACAUCCAGUAAAUGUAAGCUAUUUUUAUUGCUCAGAGUCAAGGACAUUUAAAUACUGGACUAGAUCAUCAAAGGAAUAGAUUCUUCCCUUGAGAGCAGAGAGAAUGUGAGAGGGUCUUCUCUGUCUGCAAGAAACAUUCUUCACCAGAUGAUCCAUUUAUGUAUUUUUCUAGUUCACAAUCCUAGCAGCAACGUAUAAAUAAGGAGCAGCUGUUGUAAAAAUCCUUUUUCCUCUUUCAUGUCGGUUUGCUAUCUUUGGGAAGAAAAUUUUUGCUAUUUAAACUCCACAUUGGUCACUAUGCUUGUGGGUUGAAAUAGGGGCCUUACUGCUGAUGGGGCUAAACCAAAGCUUCCAAGGGGGAGCCAGUGCCUGAGAGGUAUGCUGCUAUUGGUGCCCUGCUCUUAUUUCUCAGGCAAGCCUCCCCACUUCAGUUAGACAGGCCAAAUCUGCCCCAUCUUUUCUUCCAAGCCAAGGGUGACUACCCUGCAAUGGCAUGUGGCAAGUGGAAGGACCAAGGAAUUGACAUUCUCCAGGAGCAGUCUUCCCAAGUGACUGGUAGAGGUGGUGGGUGAAUUCUUGAGCUCAGAGCAGCGAACAUCAAAAUAGAGAUUAUGGGAGACUUGAUGUGAAUGGGAAAGGAUGAGAUUUAUGGGGGAAUUCACAAGAGGAGAGUCCAUUUAUUAUAAUUACAGACAUCUUAUUGAACACUAAGUGCCAGACACUGGGCUAAACCCUGCCAGCAUAAGAGAUGGGUGCUGUCCUGGAGAGAGUCACACUGUUCCAGGAAAGACACUCCUAGCAAUUCAUCAGUAAAUUCCAAGAUGAUUCAUGACUUAAGAAAGCUGAGAGCAAUGUGUAAUCGGAGUACUGAUGAGAGAGAAGCUUGGAAGGCUGAUGAAGAUGUACUCCAAAUUCACAAAGGAAGUAUAUCUGUAGUAAAGGAUGAAUAGGACUUUGGUGGACCCAAGUUGAGAAGAGCCUUCUAGACAGAGAAAACAACCUGCAUAAUGUUUGAAGUUACAUGGAGUGUUUGGGUGGACAGCUGGAGAAAAGUUCAUCGUGGGGUGGAGAAGAGGCAGGAGAUAAGGCUGAGAGGACGUGAAACAUCUGAUUAUAAAAAGUCUUGUCUCCUUCAACUGUAGAACAGAUGAUAGGAGGAGGAAGGUCUUGAUGCAUCAGAAAAUGCAAGUGCAAUGCCUUGUCCGUCACUUCCUUUUCUGCAUGUCUCUGGUGCAAGGAGAAAAGGGAGAGGAGAAGAGACUCAGGAGCGAGGCUGUGUAUCUUCAGGUACAUCCAUCAUUGAUGAUCACAUGCCAGACACCAUACUAGUUCUUUCCAAACCUUAUCCCAUUUCAUCCUCACGGUAAGCCAGUGAGGGAGGACUGUUCAACUGUUUUGCUCGUGAAGACAUUGAGGCUUAGAAGAGGUCUAGAAAAUUGUAAGAUUUGGAAUCAUGACUGCCUGCUUAAAAAGCCCUUAACCACUACAUUAUACUACUUCUCUUUUGGAAGAAGCAAAUGUGGAGUGGACAGCAGCUGCUGUGGUCGCCUUUCCUGGAUUGGGUGACAGCUAAGUGCACUGAGUUCUGCUUAUGGAGCCACAAAAAUCAGAAGAAACCAGAAGGAGCAGCCAUCAUGUUGGAAGUCAUUUGUUUUGGUAUUUACUUUGGUGAAGUCUCCAGAAGAUAUUUUGGAUUUGGAGUACUUGCUUUUUCAUCAGAUUCAUCCUUAGCAACUGCUAAAAGGCAUUCAACAGAGGACAAGAGAAUAAAAAAAUUACUUAAUUCACACAGUGAAUUCACAGCACUCAAGUGACUGUUGGCCUUUGGUGAACCAUUUUCUUUAAGAGCCCUCAUAUAGCACUAUCAUAAUUCUGUAACACCUCAACGCUGACCUUUUCGUUUGUAAAAGGCUUAAGUAAACAAAAUUAUAGCUUUUCUGCUACACUCCCAACAUUUUUGAACUACUUAGUUUUUUUGAACUUUAACAUUUGUCUGAAGAACCCAGUUACUUGAACGAAAAAGUUUGUCAUUGAGCUGUCAUUUAACAUUUGAGAAAGUGGGGUCUAAUUAGUGUGGCUUUUAAAUCUUUUUCUACAAACGGAAUUCUGAAAUGUAGAUAGAUAAGAAAUAUAAAGUGGAUCAGAUGUUCUCAUAAAUAAAUAAUGAAAACCAGACAUUUGAAUGGUUUGGAAAAUUUUAAUCACUGUACAUUAUCAUGCUACCCUGAAGAGGGAAGAAGUACAGAGACAAUCUAGAAAAUGUCAAAGUACCUUUUACACAUGUAACUGAAGUCUUAACUAAAAAGCUCUGUAGGGGCACCUGGGUGGCUUAGUCGGUUAAGCACUGACUCUUGAUUUCAGCUCAGGGUCAUGGGAUCGAGCCGUACAUCAGGCUCUGCACUGUCAGCCAACCUGCUUGGGAUUCUCUCCCUCUCUCUCUGUCUCUCAGUCUCUCAAAAUAAAGAAAUGAAUGAAUGAAUGAGUGAAUGAAUAAAAGAAAAGAUCCGUAAAUUGCAGAAUAAUCAAUUAUUAAUCUUCUGCUAGACUGAUAAUCUUAUUUUUAUCAGAAGUCUCACAAUAGUGCACUGUAAAAAUUUUUUUCAAAUAAAAAAUUAUUUGAAACAACCCAUUUCUGUAAUGGAUUUUAAGAGACCCACAUCAUCAGAUGCCCUAAAAACUGGCACACCACCAUUAUAAGAUCAUAGCAUAUGGGGACUUGGCAUUUUGAACAGUGAUUAUUUCAGGUAGCAAUCUUAAAAUAAGCAUUUAAGUCAUUUUUUUCAUCAACUACUAGACCCCUGUCUUUCUUUUAGAACUGGCACAAUGUUUACUCUGUAUCAGAAUCCCAGUGAUCUUUGAGAAUCAACCUGAAAAUGUUAACUUGCUGCUCCUGAUGAUGGUUGAUGGUUAUUCCUCUUUAGACUGAAGAGGGAAAAAUCUAAUGCAUUCAUCUAAAAACUUUAUUUGCUAUGGGAAUUUGCUUUGGCUAAUGCAAUGUUUAAGACCUGCUGGUUCACUCAAAGGUCAAGGAACAUUUAUGUAAGGAAUCUUCAAUAACAUUCUUUCAGCUUGGCGAGCAGAGAAUACCCUGAUGCCAGUUUUCCCCUCUUUUGAGUAUUAAAUUUGUGUACGUCUGCAUCUAAAUUCCUACCAAAGAGUGAAAUUGUUUUCAAAAUAUGCAGAUAACAUCAUGUCAAGUUAGAGCAUUUGUUUUAAUUUUAUUUCCUUUUCAGUGAUUUUCCUUGUUGGUCUAUCAAAAGCACUGCUUUGAAACAUUGAUCAUAACCAAAGCCUGCAUUGUGAAAAUAUCUUUUACCAAACAGGUCAGUUUGCAUUAAAGAUGCUUCCUAAGGGGAUGUUUACCUGCAUUUCCCAAAGUGUGUUCUACAAACCUCUAAUUCUAAACACUGGUUGUGAGGAUGGUAACAGCUGUUCAGUGAAAGUGUUCUUUCUGUGAUUAAAUAAAUUUGAGUGAUUCUG
Molecule: long non-coding RNA, 3835 nt
Organism: Leopardus geoffroyi (Geoffroy's cat)
Lineage: Eukaryota; Metazoa; Chordata; Mammalia; Carnivora; Felidae
Exons: 2
Source: RefSeq, a predicted model, not a curated record